RNAcentral lists this transfer RNA (88 nucleotides) under Lactobacillus sp. RNAcentral describes it as "tRNA-Ser". It matches the Rfam family "tRNA". Rfam says of the family: Transfer RNA (tRNA) molecules are approximately 80 nucleotides in length. RNAcentral also lists the same sequence under 3 other names. The record is from RNAcentral. Lineage: Bacteria; Bacillati; Bacillota; Bacilli; Lactobacillales; Lactobacillaceae.
GGAGGAUUACCCAAGUGGCUUAAGGGGACGGUUUUGAAAACCGUUAGAGGGGGCAACUCCUGCGUGGGUUCAAAUCCCACAUCCUCCU